GCGCACCAGUCGCGAAAACUUCACACUGUGCGAAAGCACGAUGAGGGAAUCCCAAGUGCUUGCACGUAAGUGUAAGCUGUUUCUCUGUCUAAAACGCAGAGAGAGUAAGGGCUGGGUAAGACGGGUGCCAGCCGCCGCGGUAAUACCUGCAGCUCAAGUGGUGACCGUUAUUAUUGGGCCUAAAACGUCCGUAGCCGGUUUAAUAAAUGCCUGGGUAAAUUGUGUAGCUUAACUAUACGAAUUCCGGGUAGACUGUUAAACUUGAGACCGGGAGAAGUUAGAGGUACUCCUGGGGUAGAGGUGAAAUUCUGUAAUCCUAGGGGACCACCAGUGGCGAAGGCGUCUAACUAGAACGGGUCUGACGGUGAGGGACGAAGCCCUGGGGCGCAAACGGGAUUAGAUACCCCUGUAGU
RNAcentral lists this ribosomal RNA (413 nucleotides) under uncultured microorganism. RNAcentral's name for it is "bacterial SSU rRNA". It matches the Rfam family "Archaeal small subunit ribosomal RNA", at positions 330 to 745 of the family's 1478-position model. The record is from RNAcentral.